CUACGGAGGACGCGAGCGUUAUCCGGAUUCAUUGGGUUUAAAGGGUGCGCAGGCGGCCGUGCAAGUCAGCGGUGAAAGCCCGGGGCUCAACCCCGGAAGUGCCGUUGAUACUGCAUGGCUGGAAUGCGGUCGAGGCGGGCGGAACGGGGGGUGUAGCGGUGAAAUGCGUAGAGAUGGCACAGAAACCCGAUAGAGGAGGAGGCUCGCCAGGCCGGCAUUGUCGCGCGGGCACGAAAGCGUGGGGAGCGAGCAGGAUUAGAUACCCUGGUCGUCCACGCCGUAAACGAUGGGCGCUCGUCGUCGGCGGCAGACAGUCGGCGGCCAAGCGAAAGCGAUAAGCGCCCCGCCUGGGGAGUACGGUCGCAAGGCUGAAACUCAAAUGAAUUGACGGGG
Molecule: ribosomal RNA, 393 nt
Filed under: uncultured bacterium
Lineage: Bacteria
Description: partial 16S ribosomal RNA
Rfam family: Bacterial small subunit ribosomal RNA
Source: RNAcentral